GAAGAAGAAGAAGAAGAAGAAGAAGAAGAAGAAGAAGAAGAAGAGCAACAACAAAAAAGACAGCAAGAAAAAAAAAGGGAAGAAAGGAAACAAAAAGAACACCAAGAUAGGAAAGAGAGUCCUCACCCCAGAAGAGUCCAUGGAUCGCUACAGGCGCGUCUUUGUAGCAGUGAAAAAGGGCAUGACAAAAACUGAGGCACACGUCAAAGUCGGGGUUGACCGAAAAACGGUGGCAGCAACGGCCGCCAUUUCGGAGCUACAGGCUGUUGACAAGGACCUGUAUGACCAGCUGAGGGCAUCAAUGCCCAAGGGAGAGACACUUUAUCUUUUUUCGGCAAAAUGUAAUCUAGAAAUACUUGGCAGGAACCUUCAGGAUAAGGUGAAUGAAAAAAAAA
This is a long non-coding RNA of Gadus morhua (Atlantic cod), 395 nucleotides long. RefSeq lists it as uncharacterized. The record is from RefSeq and is a predicted model, not a curated record. NCBI's taxonomy places the organism in Eukaryota, Metazoa, Chordata, Actinopteri, Gadiformes, Gadidae. The transcript has 2 exons.